CCUGUGGUUUCUCACUUUCUCACUUUAGUAUCUUUUCGUUUAAAGUGUAUCAAAUUAGCCCAUGUGGUUUCGCAUUUUCUCACUUUAGUACCCUGCGAUUUAAAGUGUAUCAAGUUAGUAUCAUGUGGUUUUAUUUUUCUCUCACCGGAGUGUAACUAUUUUUCUUCCUCUUCCUCGCCGGCAUGCUUCUCAACCCCGAGAAGCACUUCCUCUUCGUCGCCGACGGCGGCAGUAGGGACGGCGGGUUUGUUUGGCGGGUAGAAAAUCCGCUGCAGUAGAGGUGGAGGGAGAAGGCGAAGGAAGAAGACG
RNAcentral lists this long non-coding RNA (309 nucleotides) under Ananas comosus (pineapple). Its description in RNAcentral is "long non-coding RNA (ACOM_LNC006899)". Lineage: Eukaryota; Viridiplantae; Streptophyta; Magnoliopsida; Poales; Bromeliaceae. The record is from RNAcentral.